GCGCAGCCUGAUGCGCCAUGCCGCGUGUAUGAAGAAGGCCUUCGGGUUGUAAAGUACUUUCAGUCGUGAGGAAGGUUCAUGCGUUAAUAGCGUAUGGAUUUGACGUUAGCGACAGAAGAAGCACCGGCUAACUCCGUGCCAGCAGCCGCGGUAAUACGGAGGGUGCGAGCGUUAAUCGGAAUUACUGGGCGUAAAGCGCAUGCAGGUGGUUAGUUAAGUCAGAUGUGAAAGCCCGGGGCUCAACCUCGGAAUUGCAUUUGAAACUGGCUGACUAGAGUACUGUAGAGGGGGGUAGAAUUUCAGGUGUAGCGGUGAAAUGCGUAGAGAUCUGAAGGAAUACCGGUGGCGAAGGCGGCCCCCUGGACAGAUACUGACACUCAGAUGCGAAAGCGUGGGGAGCAAACAGGAUUAGAUACCCUGGUAGUCCACGCCGUAAACGAUGUCUACUUGGAGGUUGUGGCCUUGAGCCGUGGCUUUCGGAGCUAACGCGUUAAGUAGACCGCCUGGGGAGUACGGUCGCAAGAUUAAAACUCAAAUGAAUUGACGGGGGCCCGCACAAGCGGUGGAGCAUGUGGUUUAAUUCGAUGCAACGCGAAGAACCUUACCUACUCUUGACAUCCAUAGAACUUAGCAGAGAUGCUUUGGUGCCUUCGGGAACUAUGAGACAGGUGCUGCAUGGCUGUCGUCAGCUCGUGUUGUGAAAUGUUGGGUUAAGUCCCGCAACGAGCGCAACCCUUAUCCUUGUUUGCCAGCGAGUAAUGUCGGGAACUCCAGGGAGACUGCCGGUGAUAAACCGGAGGAAGGUGGGGACGACGUCAAGUCAUCAUGGCCCUUACGAGUAGGGCUACACACGUGCUACAAUGGCGUAUACAGAGGGCUGCCAACUUGCGAAAGUGAGCGAAUCCCAAAAAGUACGUCGUAGUCCGGAUUGGAGUCUGCAACUCGACUCCAUGAAGUCGGAAUCGCUAGUAAUCGUGGAUCAGAAUGCCACGGUGAAUACGUUCCCGGGCCUUGUACACACCGCCCGUCACACCAUGGGAGUGGGCUGCAAAAGAAGUGGGUAGUUUAACCUUUCGGGGAGGACGCUCACCACUUGUGGUUCAUGAUGGGUG
RNAcentral lists this ribosomal RNA (1112 nucleotides) under Vibrio sp. 785M. RNAcentral describes it as "bacterial SSU rRNA". It matches the Rfam family "Bacterial small subunit ribosomal RNA", at positions 375 to 1482 of the family's 1533-position model. The record is from RNAcentral. Lineage: Bacteria; Pseudomonadati; Pseudomonadota; Gammaproteobacteria; Vibrionales; Vibrionaceae.